AUGGAAAAGCUCAUAGACUCAACUAAUGGUGAAUAUUCUAGAGUAUUUGACUACCACCUUGAGUUAAUUAGGAGCAAGCCUGGUAGUACUGUUGCAGUUACAUUAGACCCUGACGAGCAUGAAAAUAAUGUGUUUGAAAGGAUGUAUGUUUGUCUAGAUCUAAAGAAGGGGUUUAUGGCUGGAUGUAGAAGAGUUGUUGGGUUAGAUGGCUGUUUUAAGGGUGUUGUGCAUGGACAAAUAUUGUGUACAAUUGGGAGAGAUGCCAACAACCAGAUGUACCCCAUUGCAUGGGCAACUGUUGAGGUUGAGAGUUAUGAUAGUUGGUACUAGUUUCUAUCGUUUCUUUAAAAGGACAUUCAGAUAAACAACAAUGGUGAGGACUAGGUUUUCAUCUUUGAUCAACAAAAGGGUCUCAUAAGAGCAGUCAAUGAAAUAUGUCCAGCAGCAGAACAUAGAAUGUGUGCUAGGCACAUCUAUGCAAAUUGGAGAAGAUAUAUCAGAAAAUAUUUUGGGCAUGUGCAAAAGCUUCUGACAGAACAUGAUUCAACUAUCAUAGAGCAAAGCUUGCUCAAAAAAUAG
This 579-nucleotide ribosomal RNA is filed under the name Triticum aestivum (bread wheat). Its description in RNAcentral is "partial small subunit ribosomal RNA". Lineage: Eukaryota; Viridiplantae; Streptophyta; Magnoliopsida; Poales; Poaceae. The record is from RNAcentral.